RNAcentral lists this non-coding RNA (28 nucleotides) under Rattus norvegicus (Norway rat). Lineage: Eukaryota; Metazoa; Chordata; Mammalia; Rodentia; Muridae. The record is from RNAcentral.
UCAGUUUUACUUUUGUUCGGUCUUUAAA